GACGGGGACGGCCGGCCGCUGGACGGUGCGACCACCCGCUACGAGGUCCGGCUGGAGACGCCGCCGCCGGCCGGCGCGUUCUGGAGCGUGACCCUGUAC
RNAcentral lists this transfer RNA (99 nucleotides) under Pimelobacter simplex. RNAcentral's name for it is "tRNA-Ser". The record is from RNAcentral. Lineage: Bacteria; Bacillati; Actinomycetota; Actinomycetes; Propionibacteriales; Nocardioidaceae.